GGGCACGUGGCGGAAUUGGUAUACGCGUACGCUUCAGGAGCGUAUGGGGAAACCCUUGAGAGUUCAAAUCUCUCCGUGCCCA
RNAcentral lists this transfer RNA (82 nucleotides) under Candidatus Campbelliibacteriota bacterium. RNAcentral's name for it is "Candidatus Campbellbacteria bacterium tRNA-Leu". It matches the Rfam family "tRNA". Rfam says of the family: Transfer RNA (tRNA) molecules are approximately 80 nucleotides in length. Their secondary structure includes four short double-helical elements and three loops (D, anti-codon, and T loops). Lineage: Bacteria; Candidatus Campbelliibacteriota. The record is from RNAcentral.